GUUUACGCUCUAUAACCCUUUGUGAACAUACCUAUAACUGUUGCUUCGGCGGGUAGGGUCUCCGUGACCCUCCCGGCCUCCCGCCCCCGGGCGGGUCGGCGCCCGCCGGAGGAAAACCAAACUCUGAUUUAACGACGUUUCUUCUGAGUGGUACAAGCAAAUAAUCAAAACUUUUAACAACGGAUCUCUUGGUUCUGGCAUCGAUGAAGAACGCAGCGAAAUGCGAUAAGUAAUGUGAAUUGCAGAAUUCAGUGAAUCAUCGAAUCUUUGAACGCACAUUGCGCCCGCCAGCAUUCUGGCGGGCAUGCCUGUUCGAGCGUCAUUUCAACCCUCAAGCUCUGCUUGGUGUUGGGGCCCUACAGCUGAUGUAGGCCCUCAAAGGUAGUGGCGGACCCUCCCGGAGCCUCCUUUGCGUAGUAACUUUACGUCUCGCACUGGGAUCCGGAGGGACUCUUGCCGUAAAACCCCCAAUUUUCCAAAGGUUGACCUCGGAUCAGGUAGGAAUACCCGCUGAACUUAAGCAUAUCAAUAAGC
Molecule: ribosomal RNA, 534 nt
Filed under: fungal endophyte
Lineage: Eukaryota; Fungi
Description: eukaryotic LSU rRNA
Rfam family: 5.8S ribosomal RNA (bases 169-322)
Source: RNAcentral